Molecule: unclassified non-coding RNA, 517 nt
Filed under: Hevea brasiliensis (rubber tree)
Lineage: Eukaryota; Viridiplantae; Streptophyta; Magnoliopsida; Malpighiales; Euphorbiaceae
Source: RNAcentral
GCCUUAUUAAUUAAAUAGUUGAAAGGUGCUUAUUUUAUUUGAUUAGUUGAUUUGGUGACACCUAGAUCAUCUUUUUCUCCUUGUGCCCCCUCUAGGAUGAACUACAUUAGUCUUAUAAUUGUUCAUGCUAAUAAUGAUCAUAUUUGAAAAUGGAAAAAAGAUGGUUACAUUGUCUGUGUUUAGUACAUAAUAUGUUGUUCGGGAUAUUCAUGUUGCAAGCUUUGGGUCUAUUCUCUGUGUACGGCAAUUUUUGAAGGAGAUAUCUAUGUAUACAACAAGCGAGGGACAAAUCAAGAAACUUAUAAGCUUAAGUCACAAUAUAAAAAAUUCGCAGAGGGAAAAAUUUGUCACUAGUCUAUUUUAUAUUGCAUAACUUUAGGUUUUUUAUUUUAGUCAAAUUUUGUCCAUGUUAAUUUGUUCCACUCUACGUCAGCCCUUUUUCAUCUAUGUCAGCAACAUUUGAUGGAGAAAAGAUGGAAAAUCCUAACGGUGCAAAACCUUAGAUAUCACUUUGUCA